AGCUUCCUAGGUAGGCAGCAGUGGGGGAUAUUGCACAAUGGGGGAAACCCUGAUGCAGCAACGCCGCGUGAGUGAAGAAGUAUUUCGGUAUGCAAAGCUCUAUCAGCAGGGAAGAGAAUGACGGUACCUGACUAAGAAGCCCCGGCUAACUACGUGCCAGCAGCCGCGGUAAUACGUAGGGGGCGAGCGUUAUCCGGAUUUACUGGGUGUAAAGGGAGCGUAGACGGCUGGUCAAGUCUGAAGUGAAAGCCCGGGGCUUAACCCCGGAACGGCGUUGGAAACUGAGCAGCUAGAGUGCUGGAGCG
RNAcentral lists this ribosomal RNA (305 nucleotides) under uncultured bacterium. RNAcentral describes it as "bacterial SSU rRNA". It matches the Rfam family "Bacterial small subunit ribosomal RNA", at positions 334 to 656 of the family's 1533-position model. The record is from RNAcentral.